CGAAACGCAUUGAAGGAGAACGAACGGACCCGUACAUUUCAGAGAGCUGGUGGUUGGUGCGAACCAGUAUGGCGAUCCGUUCCAGAGCGCUCCCGAGCGUCUGUCCGAUCCCGCAACUUGCGGCGUAGGCGCAGCCGGUGUCACGCCGUUACCGUGAAGGGUCGGAUUUUCCGACCCGCUAAGGCCGCAGCCUGCAAAGGUUCGGCGAAUUAGGGUGGCACCGCGAGACUCUCGUCCCUUUA
This 242-nucleotide non-coding RNA is filed under the name Saccharibacillus sacchari. RNAcentral's name for it is "T-box sequence". It matches the Rfam family "T-box leader". From Rfam's summary of the family: Uncharged tRNA acts as the effector for transcription antitermination of genes in the T-box leader family. T-boxes are found upstream of many aminoacyl-tRNA synthetase genes and some amino acid biosynthetic genes usually in Gram-positive bacteria. Lineage: Bacteria; Bacillati; Bacillota; Bacilli; Caryophanales; Paenibacillaceae. The record is from RNAcentral.